AUGGACCCUGUGGCGGAGGUUUCUCAUCGGAUGCUCGGCGGCGCCCCGACUCCUCCCGCCGAAGACGCGAUUGAGGGGAGCGGAGUGGAGAUCGCGCAAGUUGGCGUGUCGGUGGCGGAGGGAGAAGCGGAAAACCCGCCAGCGGCGGCGCCAUUGCUGAACGAGGGCAAUGAGGGCGGCGUCCUGGACAAGCAGGAGGACGGGGCGGCGCCCACGCUGAGCGAGGCCAACAUGGAUGUGGACGCGGCGCCCUUGGCGAGCGAGGGCAAUGAGGAUGGCGCCCUGGACAAGCAACAGUACGGGGCGCCGCCGCCACUGCGGGAGGCCAACAUGGAUGUGGAUGAGGCGCCCUUGGCGAGCGAGGGCAAUGAGGAUGGCGCCCUGGACAAGCAGCAGGACGGGGCGCCGCCGCCAGUGAGGGAGGCCAACAUGGAUGUAGAUGAGGCGCCCUUCCCGAGCGAGGGCAAUGAGGAUGGCGUCCUGGACAAGCAGCAGGACGGGGUGGCUCCUGCGGUGAGCGAGGCCAACAUGGAUGUGGAUGAGGCGUCCUUUCCGAGAGAGGACACAGAGCACCAUGCAGCAACCGAGUCCAAAACGGAGGUGAAUGAGUGUGGCGUUCUGGAGAAGCAGCAAGAUGUGGCGGCAUCUAUGAUGGGCAAAACCAAGAUUGUGGUGGACGAGAGCAGCGCUCCCCAGCAAGAUCACACCGUGGCGGCUGCGCCAAGUGAAGGUAACAGCAGAGUGGUGGACCAACAUCCCAACACAUCUGAUGGUGGCUUCCCGGUGAAGAAGGAUGAGGAGGGUGAAUGCUUGGUAGGCCGCUACAUCAGCAGGAGUGUUUCAGAUGAUGGACGUAUUUGCCUUGGGAAGGUUGCAUCCUAUGAUGGCAGCAUUGGGGUGUACAAUGUGGUGUUUGAGGAUGGACAGGGCGAGGAGUUAUUGCUUCAUCCGCUCAGAGAGUUACUUAUGGCCGAGGAGAGUAGUGCAUCUGGUAUGAAGAUGAGCUGCAGGAAGAGGAAGCUGGAUUUGCUGGUUUCACCAGGGAGUGCCAUGGAGACGAAAGUGCCACCGCGUGCUAGACAGAGGGUUGAUCCAUGCAAGAUGCCUGCCAGGCCUGAUGCAUUGCAGGAGACUGGGUGUGAUUCUGAUAUAUCCGGCAAUGCAGCGUCCUCAAGCAAUUCAUCAGUUUCCACUAAAGAAUUGUCAGCUGAGCUGUGCCCUCCAGUGCAGGGCCCCGAGUUGCCUCCAUCGUCUGCAGAUAUUGCUGUUCCAGAGGAGUCUAUAAGUCAUCUGUUUUCUGUUUACAACUUCCUACGAUCAUUCAAUGUGCAGCUCUUCCUCAGUCCAUUUGGGCUGGAUGAUUUUGUUGCAUCCAUUAAUUGCACCGUGCAGAAUACAUUACUGGAUGCUGUACAUGUCUCGUUAUUGCGGGCGCUGAGGCGGCAUCUUGAGACUAAAUCCUCCGGCGGAUCAGAACUUGCUUCAAAUUGCUUGAAGUAUGUAGAUUGGGCAUUACUAGAUGUGUUGACUUGGCCAACUUUCUUACUGGAGUACCUCUAUUUAAUGGGCUACAUUAAGAGUCUAGGGGGGAAGAGUUUUGGUAGAACCCUCCUAGCCAUUGAAUAUUAUAAGCUUCCUGUUGCAAUGAAGCUUAGGCUCCUCCAGAUACUCUGUGACCAUGUCAUUGAAUCAGGAGAGCUCAAAGCUGAACUGGAGGCUCGGGAAGGCUACAAUGAAGAAACAGAGUAUGAGACAGACUCUAGUAUUUUGUCGGAGGCUGGAUCACAAGCUGUUCUGACCAGGGCCUCAAAAGCUUCUGUGUCCAAAAAGGUUGAAGGUUUGCAGGACCUGGAAACUGCUUCAAAUGUAACAAAUACAGAAGCUGUUUUACUGCAUUCGUCCCAGGACGGCAACAGUGAUGAUUGCCGAAUAUGUGGAAUGGAUGGUACUUUGGUAUGCUGUGAUGGCUGCCCAUGGGCAUACCACUCAAGAUGUAUAGGUCUCAACAAAGCAUUUCUACCACAGGGACUUUGGUUUUGUCCAGAAUGCGUGGUUAACAAGCUUGGACCAGCAUCUUCGAGAAUAGAGCGUGGGGCAAGAGGAGCUCAAAUGUUUGGCAUUGAUAUGUGCGGAAGGCUCUUCCUAGGAUCCUGCAACUAUUUGCUGGUGAUUGGAACAUCUACAGAUGCAGGGUCAUAUGCAAGAUAUUACAAUCAAUAUGAUGUUGUCAAGGUCAUGCGGAUACUUGCUCCUUCAGAUGCAUACACAGAUAUUUGUAUGAGAAUAACAGAAUACUGGAGGCAUCUGCUUGACAUAUUUCAGAACGAGAGAUCAAAAAUAGGUAAAGAAGCUGGUGUGAGAUAUACCACACAAUCCAAUACAUUGUCAAGUGUUACUCCAAUGGACGGAGCAGUUGGAAGUGUUCUGACAACUUUGAAAGACGCGGCGGGCAGUAAGACAGUAGUAACUCCUCAAAGAGAUGUGCAGCAUGAAAUUGUGGUCAAUCAAUUUACAUUGUGCUCAGCAGAACACCUGGAGAAACAAAAAUGCAUGGUGACCAGUGUAGGUGCUCCCACAGAGAAGAACAAUGAAGUAUGCAGGCAAACUCCAUUAGCUCCCAACGACAUACAUAAUACACCCAUGAAUGGAGCUUUUCGACCCGCUGGGAUAUCCUCUAUUUCUCAUGAGAACAGUUCUGUGGUAACAGGUGUGUCUAGUGUAAUGCCCGCACAGUCAUCACAUGGGUUGGUUCGUCCGGACAUCUCGUGUGGUUUUGGAAUAGAUAAUGGAUUGUCUGGACAAAAUACUGGGAACACUAUCUCUGUAAAGGCAGGCUUGUCUUGUCCAUCUUAUAAAGGCAAAUACCCUCUUCAGCUGAUUUCUGAGAUUGGGAGUACUAGUGAUGGUAAGUCUGCUGAAGUGCCAUCUUUUAAACCCCAGGCUUACAUGAAUCUGUACAAUCAUGGUAAUGUUGCAGCAUCUGCUGCCGCCAACCUAGCUAUUCUUACAUCUGAGGAAGGUAAGGUUUCAGUAUCCCAAUUGACCACAAACCCAAGAAAGAAAAUGGCUGCUGACUGUGCUCUACAAGUGAAAGCAUUUUCCUCACCAGCGGCACAAUUUAUUUGGCCAAGUACUGGAAGGAAGAUUAUGGAAGUCCCAAGGGAUAGAUGUGGUUGGUGCAUUGCUUGUAAAAUUUCAGCAGCUGGAGCUAAAAAGGCUUGUUUUCUUAACGUGGCCACUGCAAAUGCUGUUAAGGGGUCUGCUCGAAUUCUUAGUGCCAUGCAUGUAAUCAAAAGCUCCGGGAGCCACUUCGCCAGCAUCACUGCUUAUAUGGUUAACAUGGAGGAAAGUUUGCGUGGACUUUUAGUCGGUUCACUACAAGACUUGCAACAGAGACAACGGUGGCAUAAACAACUACAGGAAGCUUCCAACUGCAAAACUAUAGUACCCCUUUUGCUUGAGUUGGAGAGUAAUAUUCGUUCCAUAGCAUUUUCUCCAAUCUGGGUGAAGCUAGUAGAUGACUGGCCUUUGGAAUCUCCUCCUGCAUCUGCGGGUGCAUUGCGUCCUGCAGCAUACCAAAAACGUGGAACUGGUGGAAGGCGUGGCAGAAAACGUUCAUUGGUAACUGAAUCUGCUGCUGCUGCCGAUGAUGACAAGAGUUGGAAAAAGGUUAAUUGGUGGAGUGGAGGAAAUAUUUCUAAGCGUAUUUUGCAGAGGGGGGUUCAUCUUAGUUCGGCCAUAAGAAAAGCUGCCCGUCAAGGUGGUAAAAAAAGGAUGGCUGGUCUGUCUUAUCAUGAUUGCUCCAUUCUUCCAAGACGAACUCGACAAUUUGCUUGGAGAGCGUGUGUUGGUUUAAGCCAGAAUUCAUCUCAACUUGCUCUGCAGGUCAGAUAUCUUGAUGCCCAUAUAAGAUGGAAGGAAUUCUUGUCUCCAGAUCAAAUCCCUUCUGAUGGAAAAAGUUCAGAUGCUGACUUUUCUGCACUGAGAAAUGCAGUACUUUGUGAUAAAAAGAUAGUCGACAAUAAGAUAAGAUAUGCACUUAAGUUCCCCAACCAGAAGCAUCUCCCUGUCCGUGUAACCAAGAAUAUUUUGGAAGCAGAAGGUAAUCAGGAUCAGAAUGGCAAAUUUUGGUUUUCUGAAAAUCAUGUCCCACUGUACAUGGUACGAGAGUUUGAGCAGAAACCUGGGGUUAGCUCCUUGCCUACUCCAGGAAUUGUACACUCUUUCAUGAAUUUAUACAAAAGGCGAGUAAAAGCAUCUACUGGAGAUGUCUUUUCUUAUCUCUUUCACAAGGGGGAUAUCUAUCCCUGCUCUUCAUGCAAGAAAGAUGUUCCCUUCAGGGAUGUAAUAAGAUGUAGCGAUUGUCAAGGUUAUUGUCACAAGGAGUGCACAGUAAAAUCUGUUGGUGGCAAAGGAGGCACUGCUGCUUCCAGUUUGAUAUGCAAGUUAUGCCUUCAGAAGCGGAAUCUUAUCCUUACAAAUUACAGUACAAAUGCAAGAUAUGCCUUGCCUCAAAAGAAGAGUACCUGCCAAUUGCCAGUGAGCGCUCCCAAAAUAAUAUUCAAAGUUGGUUCUUCCCAUUCUGCUGAACCAGCCGCAAAGGUUCAAGCCCAGCCAGUCGCUAAAGUUAAAGCUCAGCCAGUCACUAAGGUGGAAACCUGGCCAGUUGCUAAGGUGGAAGCCCUGUCAACCGCGAAGGUGCAAACACAUCCAAUCACAGAGUUGAAAGCCUGUCCAGUUGCAAAUUUGGCAACUCAGAAUGUUGCAAGGUUGCAGGCUCAGGCAAAGAUUGAAGCUAACAGAUCCAAGUCAGAGAAACCGAGGAGACGUAAAAGGCCAGAAGAGAUCAAAUACUUUGGUCUCUCUUGGAAGAAAAAUAAGAGCGACAGAAGUGGAAGUGAUUUCAGGGCGAAUGAUGUAAUCCUAAAAUGCAAGGAUGGUAUAGGAUCAGCAAUAAAACCGACUUGUUGUCUCUGUAAGAAAUCUUAUUGUCCAGAUUUCCUAUAUGUCCGCUGUGAGCAGUGUAAAGCUUGGUUUCAUGGUGAUGCCUUGCGACUUGAGGAAGAAAGAAUACUUGAAGUGGUUCAAUACCGAUGCUGCAAAUGCCGAAGGAGAGCCAUGCCAAUAUGUCCCCAUUCAGAUGAUUAUAAGAAGCCCGGACCAGAAUUCAGUGAACAAACAGUUGCAACGUCAUCCCAAUCAAGCAUGCUGUCUAGUGAGGAGACUGCUUCUGUAGCAGAUCAAGACCCACUGCUUGCUUCCUAUGGAAUAGUUGAACCGAUUGGGGAAGAGACUUUUGAUGCUGAUUUAUCAAUGAACACGGUAAGAUUUACCUCGGGAAUUAAUCAGAAGCUAACCAUAAGAAGGGCACAAGGUAAAAAUAGUGGAUGUGUUGAUCAAGCUGGUGUGGAUGAGUACAGUAAUCAGAAUCAACCUCUGGCGGAUGCAAAUGUCGAUUUCAGUCAUAUGAAUGGAUUUUCUCUAUCAGAGCUUGAAGGUGUGGAUCCUUCAGAGCUACUGGGGUGGGAUCUUUCCCAAGGAAAUGAGUAUACCUCCCCUCCCGAUUACACUGCUAAUUGCCAGUUAAAUGGCGCAAGCUGUGGCAGUGCUGCAACUGGGGAUUUUGAACUGCAGACCUUUUUUUCAUUUACUGAUUUGCUUGAAGCUGAUGAUACACGGUUUGGUCAGACUUUUGGGAUGUCUGCCGGUUUGCAAGAUGAUGGUAACUGCACAGGAAGCUUCGACCAAGAAAUAGCCAGUUUUGAUGAUAUGGCUUUCAUGGUAGAAGACGUGUCUUCAAAUAUGCACUUCCCAGCAAAUGCUCCCCCUCCUGACGAUGUACCGUGUAAGAAGUGCAACAACUCCCAGCCGCCACCUGACCUCAAAUGCCUAGUCUGUGGCCUGCGCAUACACCGUCAGUGCUCACCUUGGGAUGAAAGCGACCUGCCUGUUGAGAGUGCCGACUGGGCCUGUGGUGCUUGCCGGGAGUGGCGAUGA
Molecule: ribosomal RNA, 5997 nt
Filed under: Triticum aestivum (bread wheat)
Lineage: Eukaryota; Viridiplantae; Streptophyta; Magnoliopsida; Poales; Poaceae
Description: partial small subunit ribosomal RNA
Source: RNAcentral